This 340-nucleotide ribosomal RNA is filed under the name uncultured bacterium. Its description in RNAcentral is "bacterial SSU rRNA". It matches the Rfam family "Bacterial small subunit ribosomal RNA", at positions 28 to 363 of the family's 1533-position model. The record is from RNAcentral.
GAUGAACGCUAGCGGCAGGCUUAAUACAUGCAAGUCGAGGGGCAGCAUGGUGUAGCAAUACACUGAUGGCGACCGGCAAACGGGUGCGGAACACGUACAGAACCUUCCUUCGAGCGGGGAAUAGCCCAGAGAAAUUUGGAUUAAUACCCCAUAGUAUUAUGGAGCGGCAUCACUUUGUAAUUAAAGAUUUAUCACUUGAAGAUGGCUGUGCGGCUGAUUAGGUAGUUGGCGGGGUAACGGGCCCACCAAGCCUGCGAUCAGUAACUGGUGUGAGAGCACGACCAGUCACACGGGCACUGAGACACGGGCCCGACUCCUACGGGAGCAGCAGUAAGGAAUA